GCAGUCGCCGCGGGAAUACGUAGGUGGCAAGCGUUGUCCGGAAUUAUUGGGCGUAAAGGGCUCGCAGGCGGUUUCUUAAGUCUGAUGUGAAAGCCCCCGGCUCAACCGGGGAGGGUCAUUGGAAACUGGGAAACUUGAGUGCAGAAGAGGAGAGUGGAAUUCCACGUGUAGCGGUGAAAUGCGUAGAGAUGUGGAGGAACACCAGUGGCGAAGGCGACUCUCUGGUCUGUAACUGACGCUGAGGAGCGAAAGCGUGGGGAGCGAACAGGAUUAGAUACCCCAGUAGUCCCUGUCUCUUAUAA
Molecule: ribosomal RNA, 302 nt
Filed under: uncultured bacterium
Lineage: Bacteria
Description: partial 16S ribosomal RNA
Rfam family: Bacterial small subunit ribosomal RNA
Source: RNAcentral